RNAcentral lists this ribosomal RNA (482 nucleotides) under uncultured bacterium. Its description in RNAcentral is "partial 16S ribosomal RNA". It matches the Rfam family "Bacterial small subunit ribosomal RNA", at positions 30 to 507 of the family's 1533-position model. The record is from RNAcentral.
AUUGAACGCUGGCGGCAUGCUUUACACAUGCAAGUCGAACGGUAACAGGCCGCAAGGUGCUGACGAGUGGCGAACGGGUGAGUAAUGCAUCGGAACGUGCCCAGUCGCGGGGGAUAACUACUCGAAAGAGUAGCUAAUACCGCAUACGAUCUAUGGAUGAAAGCGGGGGACCGUAAGGCCUCGCGCGAUUGGAGCGGCCGAUGUCAGAUUAGGUAGUUGGUGGGGUAAAGGCUCACCAAGCCAACGAUCUGUAGCUGGGCUGAGAGGACGACCAGCCACACUGGGACUGAGACACGGCCCAGACUCCUACGGGAGGCAGCCGUGGGGAAUUUUGGACAAUGGGCGCAAGCCUUAUCCAGCAAUGCCGCGUGCAGGAAGAAGGCCUUCGGGUUGUAAACUGCUUUUGUACGGAACGAAACGGCUCUGGUUAAUACCCGGGGCUAAUGACGGUACCGUAAGAAUAAGCACCGGCUAACUACGUG